GAUGAACGCUAGCGGCAGGCCUAAUACAUGCAAGUCGAGGGAGAAUGUUGGAUUCGUCUGACAUGAAACCGGCGCACGGGUGCGUAACACGUAUGCAGCCUACCUUUAACUGGGGUAUAGCUCAGAGAAAUCUGAAUUAACCCCCCAUAAGACUACGACAUGGCAUCAUGAUGUAGUUAAAGCUCCGGCGGUUAAGGAUGGGCAUGCGGUACAUUAGCUAGUUGGUGAGGUAAUGGCUCACCAAGGCUACGAUGUAUAGGGGGUCUGAGAGGAUGAUCCCCCACACUGGUACUGAGACACGGACCAGACUCCUACGGGAGGCAGCAGUAGGGAAUAUUGGUCGAUGGACGCAAGUCUGAACCAGCCAUGCCGCGUGAAGGAUGAAGGCCCUAUGGGUCGUAAACUUCUUUUAUUAGGGAAGAAAAAACGGGAUGCGUCCUGUACUGACGGUACUUAAUGAAUAAGGAUCGGCUAACUUCGUGCCAGCAGCCGCAGUAA
This 498-nucleotide ribosomal RNA is filed under the name uncultured bacterium. RNAcentral's name for it is "partial 16S ribosomal RNA". It matches the Rfam family "Bacterial small subunit ribosomal RNA", at positions 28 to 523 of the family's 1533-position model. The record is from RNAcentral.